CAUAAUACCGUCAUUCAAGGCCCAGAAAGGUAGUAAAGACAUCGUUAAAAUAGUCCUUAUGCUGACCCAGGUGCCGGCCAAUACUGAGUCGGCAUUCUGACGUAGAACCUGGAAGCAUUGCAGGGUGUUUACAAUGUAAACAGCGUAGGAGAAUGACAGGGGAGAGAAGAAAUGGUUGAAUAUAUCAGUUAUUUUUGUUUUGUUUUUGCAGUAUUUUCAUUUAAGGUAGCACCACUGUAGUCACAUGAACUGUUUUAAAUAUGUCUUUAGUACCUUUCUGGGCCUUGAAAGUGGCAAUUACGUUGCUUUAUAUUGGGGAUCAGAAACCUUGUGGAUUUCAUCAAAAAUAUCUUAAUUUGUGUUCCGAAGAUGAAUGAAGGUCUUACUGGUUUGGAACAACAUGAGGGUGAGUAAGAACAUUUCUGCCAUUUUUGGGUGAACUAACCAUUGAAUGCACUAAUACUAAUACAAUUUUAAAAUGUGAUCCAAAUUGUAGUUUUAAAUGUAUUUAUUUGUUUGUUUGUUUGUUUAAAACAAUACAAUAUAAAGAAUCACACUGUAAGCAGGUGAACCUGCUUUUCAAAAAAAGCUUGAUGUCCCACAGUUCUGUAAAGUUUCAUACAAUUAAAAUGUUUGUUUUUGAUUAAUAUAUGCCUGCUUUAUGCCAUUGUAUUUUAUGUCAUUUUUAUUUGCUUUUCGAUGUAUUUGCUUUUUUAAAUGUAAUGCAAAUUAUUGAUUGAUUGAUUGAUUCGUUCGUUCGCUCGUUCGUUCAUUUUAUCACCAUACAAUGUAAAGAAUCACAAUAAGCAGGUGAACCUACUUUUCAAAAAGGCAUUAUGUCAAAAAAUCUGUAAAAAAAUUUCACCAAUUUAAGUUAGACAAGCUCAAAAUAUUCACAUUUUUAAAAAGCUUCUGAAGAUCUUUUAGUUUUUGAUUAAUUUAGCUUUAUUAUGCCAUUCUAUUCCAUUCCAUUGCUUUUUGUCUGUAUAUGUAAUCCAAAUCUUAUUUAUUUGUUUGUUUGUUUGUUUUCAUUUAUUGUUUGUUUGUUCCAUUUUUAUUUGCCUUUUCAAUUUCUAAUUUGUUCACAAAUUAAAGCUUUUUAAAUGAAUUAAUUCCAUUUGCUUAUCCAUUUAUUUACGGUCCGUCAAAAUGUGUUUAAAAUCACAGUUUUAAAUGUAUUUAUUUAUUGUUUGUUUGUACCAUUUUUAUUUGGCUUUCCAAUUUCUAAUUUGUUAAAAAAUUUAAGUUUUUUUUUAAUGAAUUAAUUCCAUUUGCUUUUCCAUUUAUUUACUGUCUGUCAAAAUGUGAUUAAAAUCAUAGAUUAAAUGUAUUUAUUUAUUAUUUGUUUGUGUUGUUUUUAUUUGAUUUUUUAUUUAUUCAAAAAUUUAUGAUUGUUGUUAUUUUUAUGUUCUUUUUUCUUUUUUUUAAUACUUUGACAUAUGAAGCACUUUGAACUUCAUUGUAUGAAAGAUGCUACUAUACAUGAACUCAAUGAUGAACGCCUUUUAUUCAUUAACCUUGAUAAUAAUUGUCAUGUAUUUUUUUAAUUCCACUAAAUUCAAAUAUCCAUCUAUGAGAUACACUAAUAAACAAACACAUAACCCAUGAGCCAUUGUCAUCCUAUAGCAGCCUCAUUGCCAGUAAAGCAUGAGUUGCUUUAAUUUAUGUUUGUAGGCUACACAAAGCUUCUCUCCCAGGAGCACGUCGACCAAUUCACAGCCCUCGUUGUUCUUAGAAAGCUUCUUUGUUCCCUCCUACGAGAUUCUAAAUUUACCCACCAGAGACAAAAGGUAGCGUGAUAAUUAACUGCAUGUCACUGCUGCCGAGGACCUGAAACGCGAGACACCCUCUGCCCAUUGUUGUGUCCAGUUCAGGGCAGUGGCGGAGUGACAUCACUUGGUGAUGUCAGGUUCACAGGGCGGAACUGGACCGUCGGGUCCCCUGUGAUUGGUCACAUCUUGCGGCACAACAGGUAUAAGAGUUCUAUGCUCAGUCAAAGCAUGCAAAAUUGUACGCAUAAUUCUGCAGCAUCCCUAGGACGACCUGAACUUAGUUGGUUACCAUGGCAACUGUUGUACCGUGUGCAUCAUGUUAUGGCAGCAGCAGCGUUCAGCUCUUUGGGAGAGGGCAUGGUGGCGAUUACAUGUCCCUUUUCAGUUACAGAGGGCCCAGAGGGGCCCCUCGCCCACGUCUGGCCUACCACGCUCCGAAGAUGACACUGCGUCAGAUUUGUCGCAUGUUGCGUAUAAUGCGGCAGCUACGCAAUAAAGAAGCAGCAGCCGCUGCUGCAGCCGCCAGAAAACAGGCCUCUCCUCCCAGCUCACCUACAAUCAAAUCGGAGAAGCGAUGCUUACCUGCCUGUUUUCGACGUAGACGUAGUAACAAUAUUAAAAGAGUGAGUUAAGCAUCCAGUUUCUCCAAAACCUCCCAACAACUUCAGCCCUGUGGGAGUUUACAAAUUGGGGAAAUGGAGCCAGACCUCACUCCACACAGAAGACUUAAAGUGAGGGACCAAGACAUCACGUUCUACAAUCUUGUUGGAUUCUUUUGUUGGGAGGAUGUAACAUGCAACAAAUCUGGUUUUGGUGGGAAGAAGUCAAGCAGAUCUUUAGGUGCCCUGCGAGUGCUGGAACUCUACAUAUCUUACAUUUCAUAAUGACACAAGAGUUUUUAUAUGUUUUUUUUUUCUGGAUUGUUUGCACUUAUUGAACUCCAAUUGUGAAAUCUAUGAAAUUCCAGUAGGGUCAAACAGUUUUGUGUGCUUCUAUCUGUAAUUAAACCAGCGGAAAGUCCUCAUCAGGGUGGAAAUACGACACAGCUAUUUGUUUGUUUAUUUAUUCAUCUGUUUGUUUGUUUCUGUGUGGGACAGGGGGCCCAAGGUUCCUUCUCUCUCAAAGAGGUGUGAUGGAAACUUAGGUACCGGUGUGUAUUACCGUGCUGAAACUAAAACUGAUGUACACAGCUAGUGUGUGACAACAUUGUGAAUUUACUGAUCUGCUUUUGAUUAACCUUUCAAUAAUAAAACACCUAUGAUUUCAAAA
This is a long non-coding RNA of Ctenopharyngodon idella (grass carp), 3041 nucleotides long. RefSeq lists it as uncharacterized. NCBI's taxonomy places the organism in Eukaryota, Metazoa, Chordata, Actinopteri, Cypriniformes, Xenocyprididae. The transcript has 3 exons. The record is from RefSeq and is a predicted model, not a curated record.